UUGUUUGACAGCUACUCAUUGUUCUCUGCUCAGUUAAUUUCAUGUGACAAACCGGUAUUGUGUUCACUGUGAAAUUGUGAAAAAUAAGUUAUUCGUUCCCUAACACUUCAAUUGGAAACCAUCAAAUCAAUCACGUUUAUUGUGCAAAUUUUUAUUCAAUUUCAACAACAGGCAUUUGUCUUUAAGGUGUCCAAAAUGCCUAGAGGACGACGUGCCAACAUCGGCCGCCGCACAAGCAUGCAAGCCAGCAACAAGUGUAUUCACAGAACUUAAGCAAAGAAAGACAAAAUAUUAUAUAAUAAGUGAAAAU
This is a non-coding RNA of Bactrocera oleae (olive fruit fly), 310 nucleotides long. The record is from RefSeq and is a predicted model, not a curated record. Lineage: Eukaryota; Metazoa; Arthropoda; Insecta; Diptera; Tephritidae.